AGGGAGGGCUAAACUGAGGAUCACCACCUCAGACCCAUUAUUCCACACCACUGACCACACCAUGUAUCCUCUGGGUGGUUAGCCCGGCAUCCUGGGUGACUAAACUGGGGCACGUAUACCUUUCGUGCUGCACCUCAGCCAGUUACAUAUGCUCUUAUCUAUGAGCCUCCUCAGGAAUGACCUUGUUUGCAAUAUUUUAUUGCCUACCUCAGUGUGCAUGUUGGCAGUCGA
This is a long non-coding RNA of Bufo bufo (common toad), 231 nucleotides long. RefSeq lists it as uncharacterized. The transcript is spliced from 3 exons. Lineage: Eukaryota; Metazoa; Chordata; Amphibia; Anura; Bufonidae. The record is from RefSeq and is a predicted model, not a curated record.